CUUCUGUGGGUCUGUCAAGCUAGUUGGUCUGGCGGUUGGCGAACAGCUGGACUGUGAAUGGGCAGGAGAUGGCAGGCGCAAGUUACGGAUCAGGAAGGAAGAUAGAAUUGAAGUAAUUGGUGGGAGGGAAGAUGACUGGAAUUUGGGAGGUCAAAAAAAUAGGAGAAAACGCAAAAAAGAGAGACAGCAAAGUGAUAGAAACAACUCAGAGGGAACGGAUAGUGAGGGAGGUGGAACACCAAUAGUGAGGCAGAGUGAGAAGUAUUAAAAUAUCAUCAAACUUUCUCAGGACGGUGUGUCGUUUGGUGAGUGGAACCCAAUUAUGUUAACGAAGGCGAGUUUGUGGGUGAAGUAAAGAAUGUGUGUUGCUGAAUGGUUAAUUGUUGAUCUUUUGUAGGAAUAGUGUGCAACAAGGAAAAGCCAUAAGACUAAACAAGAUUGAUGGAAAAAAAGUGCAG
Non-coding RNA from Xyrichtys novacula (pearly razorfish), 458 nucleotides. The record is from the annotation of a GenBank genome assembly. NCBI's taxonomy places the organism in Eukaryota, Metazoa, Chordata, Actinopteri, Labriformes, Labridae.